CCUACGGGUGGCAGCAGUGAGGAAUAUUGGUCAAUGGGCGCGAGCCUGAACCAGCCACGUAGCGUGAAGGAUGACUGCCCUACGGGUUGUAAACUUCUUUUAUAAAGGAAUAAAGUGAGGCACGUGUGCCUUUUUGUCUGUACUUUAUGAAUAAGGAUCGGCUCACUCCGUGCCAGCAGCCGCGGUAAUACGGGGGAUGCGAGCGUUAUCCGGAUUUAUUUGGUUUAAGGGGUGCGUAGGCGGAGCGUUAAGUCAGUGGUAAAAUUGAGGGGCCCAACCCCUUCCCGCCAUUGAAACUGGCGCUCUUGAGUGGAAGAGAAGAAUGCGGAAUGCGGGGUGUAGCGGUGAAAUGCAUAGAUAUAACGCAGAACCCCGAUUGCGAAGGCAGCAUGCCGGCUUCCGAUUGACGCUGAAACACGAAAGCGUGGGGAUCGAACAGGAUUAGAUACCCGAGUAGUC
This 459-nucleotide ribosomal RNA is filed under the name uncultured bacterium. RNAcentral describes it as "partial 16S ribosomal RNA". It matches the Rfam family "Bacterial small subunit ribosomal RNA", at positions 338 to 795 of the family's 1533-position model. The record is from RNAcentral.